Molecule: long non-coding RNA, 4150 nt
Filed under: Sus scrofa (pig)
Lineage: Eukaryota; Metazoa; Chordata; Mammalia; Artiodactyla; Suidae
Description: lncRNA (ENSSSCG00050075904.1)
Source: RNAcentral
AUGUAAUUCAAUUAGCUUUAUUUUGCAAAAGAGCUCCACAUACUGACUGUAAGAAUCAGCAAGCUCCCCAUUUUACAGAUCAAAAAGCUGAGAUCCAUCGAGGUUGAGAGAACUGGCUACACACAAUGUCACCCAGGACACCAGAACAGAGCUAGGACUUGCACCCAGGCUCAAUGUUCAUCCCGUUCCCAGGCACCUCUGCUUUCUCAAUACAAGAAAAGCAGGGCUCAUGGCAGAGUGGUGCAUGCAUGGCAAAUUGAGUCCAGCCCAAGGCUGGUUUCAUGGUGUCCAGGUCCCAGACCAACCCUGAAGGAAGGGUUUUCCAUUUCAGAGUAUGCUUGCCUCACAGCAGGGACUCAACACACACCCCCCUUAAUCCUUCAAACAAAAUAACAACAACAACAAUAAUAAUUGCCUAAGCGGGCUUGGGAUGGAGAGCAGGAUUUGUAAGUAGGCUUGUUUUCAUAAAACACUUCUGUAUUUAGCAAUAAUAUUAUGAGAACAGCAAUAAAGUUAGGAAAAGUGGGCCGACAACACAACUUUAGAAGAGUGUAUUAUGCAGAAACAAAGGGGUCUGGGGGCUCCCAGCUGCCCUCAAGUUUAAAUCUACUGUGUUCUGGCCAAGGAUGAAAUGCCUGCUCCCUGCUUGUUUCCAGAUGCCAGGCCCACUAACAAAGGCGCACUUGUUUCUUGGGACACGUGCCUUGCUGCAUUUUCAGGGAGAGGUUGAGGCCACAGUCAGCCGCCGCUCCCCGGAAGAUGGCCUGCGUCAUGUGGCUGUGCUUCCUCCGGUCCUGCGACCUACCUAGCAGCGAUUCUUUUUUUUUUUUCUUUCUUUUUUUUUUUUGUCUGCCCACAGUAGUGAUUCUUUUUUUGUUGUUUUUGGCCUGAGAUGAAGCUUGCUAAGGCAGGUGGGACCCAGCACCCCCUAGGCUGGGGGCUCCCAGCUGUGUGCAGAGGUGGUCUUUCCCACUCCAGACGCCCCAUUGUGGCUGCCCUGCCCUCUAACCCUGGGAGGGCCAGGGCCCCGGAGUGGGUGCACUGCAAUGAAGAUAGAAAAACAGAUCUGCACAGAAGUCUCUGUGUCUUGGUGCAGGUUGGCACAGCCAUGGGAUCUGUGCAUGUUAUUAGGGUUGCUGAGAGAGGCGCGCCCAAGGCCACAUUGGUGAAGCAAGCAAUUUAUGAAGGCAUCGGGGGGACGGGCUGAGCUCAGGAUGGUGCCAGCCCAACUGUGAGGAGAUGCCAGGCUUAUAAAGGACCGGCGGUUGGAGUUUACGGCUGGAACUUGUGGUGGGAACAGUGACGAAGGGGGAGCAGGGGAGGGUCAGGGGACGGGUAGGGGGCAGUGAAUCCUGGCAGGUGGUUAAUCUCUGCAGGCAGUUGUUUUCCACAGGCCAUUGUUUCUUGCUGCCCAACUUGAGCCUCCACAAUCUGGGAAGGGAUGCAGGUCUUGUGCCGGCAGGACCCAUGUCUCCAAGGAGACGUCUCCAAGGUGAACAACCACAUUUGAGGUGGGGCGUGGUCUGUCUCCAUCCUUCUGGGAACCUAUCACAUACGCUCUCCCUUCCGACGGGACGGACACUCAUCAGGGUCCCUUGUGGUGGCAGAGCUGCAGCUCCUGGCAUCUGCCUGCCUCACCCUUGGGUCCUGUCUGCCCUGGAUAACCUGUGGGUGCCUGCCGCCCACGUGACCUCCCUCUGGAUGCCCCGCCUCCUCCCUGGCGCCUUCACAUCUGUCAUUCCCACAGCACAGAUGCACCACAACCUCGCCUGUCCCUGCAUCCCUCGCAUCUUUUAGGAUCCGGUGUCAUUCCCACAAAGCCUUCCCUGGCCUCAGCUCCCCUGUGGAACUGGUGGCCUCUGUCUAGGCUGCCAGAAUCUGGCAGGCAGGGCCCCCUCUGGGCCUUAUCCUUCUGUUCCAUGAUCCUGUGGUUGGGUGGCCGUUCCUUGUACAAUGCUUCGAUCGCCUAUUGGACAAGGACUGCAUCUAUUCAUUUUUCUGUUCUGAAGGUGGAGCUGGGAGCCUGCAAUGCGUGAGGUGCUCCUGGGCACUGAGUGACCAUGUGUAUGAAUGGGGUGGCAUGCGAGGCAGCAGAGGGUCUUUCUGAGCAGGGACCACAGCAGGGCAGAGCAUCUUGUAUCAGGAUUUUGCUUUUGAUGGCUUAGGAGAGGGGUCAGCAACCUUUUUCUACAAAGGUCAGCUAGUAAAUUUCCAGCUUUGUGGGCCAGAUGAUGUCUUCUGUACCCACCCAUCUUGGUACAGAAAGCACCCAUAGGUGACAGGCAAACAAAGGGCCAUGGUCUUGGCCCACUCAAACUGUCUUUACAAACGCAGGCCCGCGGUUAGGUCUAGCUCCCUGGCCAGAGUUUGCCCGACCUGGCUGAGGGUUUGGAACAGAACGGCCUGCUCUUAUUAGGGUGGAUUUUCCCUUGUCGGCUGAAGGUCAUUACAGUCCAUUCUUGCCUGUUGACCAGCUCCUGGGGGAGGUUCGGGGGCAGGCGUGCUGGCCCUCGGGUUAGUCUCUCCUGCUCUUUGGGCAGGCGUAGUAAAGGUCUCAGAACUUUCUUCCAGCCCUCUGGGUAGCUUUCUCAGCAUCUUCUGUGUCUCAUCACCCAGUUAACCGCCCUGGGUAAUUCUAAGAUGGACUCAUCCUCACUAGAACUGGAAAAAUGGGUGGGGUAGGCUCUGGUUAUGUGGGGUCUCCUGGUGCAUCUGCUAAGUUGGCUUUACCCACCCCCAGCCUCAUCCCUGCAUCUUCCACGCAGAACAAUGACGACCCUCUCCCACCCGUCUAAGGCUGCAUCGUAAAACGCACAAUCCGAAAAGCAGCCACAGUCCUGCUUUUGCUCAAGGGCAGAGCUCUCCUCUGUGGUACUUGGCAAAAGCAGGGGCAGCUGGAGCCUCCCUCACCCCCUGGCUCGUACCCUGGGCCAAGAGGACACAUCCGGCAGAAAGAUUCAGUAGCUGGGCCCCCUGGACCGCUCUCUCUGUGUCUGUGUGGUUUCUCCAUGCCAUCCCUCCAGCACUGUGACUUCUUAAAAGCUAAUCAUCAUCUCACCUUCUGCGAGGCGGAAUGUUUUUGCCGGUGAAGGGUCUCGCCUUGUUGUUGAUGGCUGCUGACUGAUCAGGUUGGUGGUGGCUGAAGGCGGCAGUGGCUACGGCAAUUUCUUAAAAUAUGACAUCAGUGAAGUUUGCGGUAUCAAUUGACUCUUUCUUUCAUGAACGAUUUCUCUGUAGGACGCAAUACCAUUUGAGAGUAUUUACCCAUAGUAGAACUUCUUUCAAAAUUGGAGUCAAUCAUUUCAAAUCCUGCCACUGCUUUAUCAUCUAAAUUUAGGUAAUAUUCUAGGUCUCUUGUUAUCAUUUCACCAAUCUUCACAGCAGCUUCACCAGGAGGAGAUUCCAUCUCAAGGAACCACUUUCUCUGCUCAUCCAUAAGAAGCAGCUCCUCAUCUAUUCGAGUUUUAUCAGGAGAUGCAGCAAUUCCGCCCCCUCUUCAGGGUCCACGUCUCAUUCCAGUUCUCUUGCUGUUUCCGCCACAUCUGCAGUUACCUCCUCCACUGAAGUCUUGAACCCUCAAAGUCGUCCACGAGAGUUGCAAUCGACUUCUUCCAACCUCCUGCGAAUGUUGGUAUUUUGACUUCUUCCCAUGAGCUGUGGUUGUUCUCAACGGCAUCUAGAGUGGAGAAUCCUUUCCAGAAGGUUUUCAGUUUACUCUACCCAGGUCCAUCAGAGGAAUCACUAUUGAUGGCUGUUAUAGCCUUAUGAGAUGAAUUCCUUAAUAAUAAGUCUUGAAAGUCAAAAUUGCUCCUUCAUCCAUGGGCUGCAGAGUGGAUGUUGCAUUGACAGGUAUGAAAACAACAUGAAUCUCUUUGCCCAUCUCCGUCAGAGCUCCUGGGUAACCCAGUGCAUUGUCAGUGAGAAGUAAUAUUUUGUUUUUUGGUUUUUGUUUUUGUUUUUUUGGUCCACGGCAUAUGGAGGUUCCCUCCCAGGCUAGGGGUCUAAUCGGGGCUAUUGCUGCCCACCUACGCCAGAGCCACAGCAACGCCAGAUCCGAGCUGCGUCUGCAACCUACACAACAGCUCAUGGCAACGCUGGAUCCUUAACCCACUGAGCGAGGCUAGGGAUUGAACCCGCAACCUCACGGUUC